Long non-coding RNA from Passer domesticus (house sparrow), 1644 nucleotides. RefSeq lists it as uncharacterized. The transcript has 3 exons. The record is from RefSeq and is a predicted model, not a curated record. NCBI's taxonomy places the organism in Eukaryota, Metazoa, Chordata, Aves, Passeriformes, Passeridae.
CAGCUGUGGUUUUCUGCUUUUUUGCACUGCUCAGGAGAAGCAGCAAGUUCAGCUUCCUUUUUUUUUAAUUUGGUUGCAAAACCUCCGAGCCGAACAGGUGUGUGCAAUCACGAACCACAGAGAUGAGCCCAAACUGCUGCUUUUCUAAAAAUUCCACCAGUCAGUGACACACACUGGUCAAGGUUGCACAACCUUGUUUUCCACAGGCUGUUUCUGAUGAUUCAUUGCCCUCGCGGAGGCUCUACGAAAAUGCUCUUCAUUCCUUCUCCUCUCACUAACAAUCAGCAGUACCCAAGCACUUCAUGAUCUUGUGGGAUUGUUCUGCAAGGGAGACUUGUCCAAAGCUACCAAACUUAUUCCACAUUUAGGUCUCCAUCCCCACCUAAGUGUCAGCACACUACUGUAAAUAAAAGGAAAUAUGUGGGAAAAGUUGGGUCUUCAGGAGGUCAGACGAUACCAAGAGCUGCAAUUGUGAAAGCUGACAUCAGACAGUGUCACUUUUAAUGUCUUCUCAAAUUCUGUCUGCAAAUACAUCACACACUGUUUUAUAAAGGAUAAUAACAGCUGCUUCCCAGUGGAGAGACAGGAGUUGGUGCCUCAAGUUCUGCUGUCCCUGCUCAACGUGCACUAAACACCCCACGUGAGUUCGUACAAAUAUUGAAAUAAAGCAUCCUUUGGGGCAGAAGUAAGUUUGCCUUCUUUGUGGAAGCUGUGCUCUCAAGGUUUUCCAAACCUACGUGUUUGCAGGCACGUCCUUCCCCAUGGAGCAGCCAGAGCAGACAGGGAAGGGCUUCAGAAGCAAAGGGUUGAACCUCCCUCCACUCCUCCAUCUGCUUCCCUUCACCCUACUCAUGGUUUCCGAGAAGUCCAGCCAGGCUGACACGAUGGAGGGAGGCAGGGGAAGCUCUGCUUGGUGUUGCCUGCAGCGCUUGAGCAAUACUGGAGUUCUCAGAAACCCUUGGAGUUUAUCAACACAUACUUGGUAUCUAAGGCGUUUAAGGUCUAUCCAAAGAUUAGGUGGCAGCAGGAUGUAGAACCUAGAUCCAAGUUUUAGGUUUCAAGGGGUAAAUCCCAGAUGGAAACUUAAGAUCAAGUGUUUUUCUACAGCCUAAACCUAUGAAAACUCAAAAAUCUUACCCUGCAUGUACCCAUAUUUUUAGACACCUAGUUAUGCUCAAGGAGUUAAGGAUGUUCCUUGUGAGAAGUCCUCAGAAAGAUGAUGCUGAAAGGAUCAUGGCCUGUCCUGAGGUAUUUACACAUAUUUUCACAACUCCACCAGUACAGCUCAGAGAGCUCUGCACAUCUCCUCUCCCCCGUGGCCAUCCUGCAAGUCACAUGUCUGACCCUCUGCAAAAACAGGGUCAUUACAAAGCAGCCACAUCAAAAUACAAGACCAUGAGGUCUAUUUCAAGGGAAGUUGGAUGGCAGCAUCCAGGACACUUAGAAAGAAGGAACAGAAACUUCAUAUCUCUGAACUUUUCCUUUGGAGCCUCAUGACUUCAGAUUUUUGCAAGUGCAUAAGGAAAGAUAUGUGCACAUGGAGAACCUGUGAUUCACUGGGCUUCAGUCUGUAAAUUUAACUCCUGAAUCACAGGAGCUAUAGUUCCAGAGUGAUUCUCUACCAACUCACAGGCAGCUAGCCAA